Pelobates cultripes (western spadefoot toad) is the source of this 168-nucleotide non-coding RNA. Lineage: Eukaryota; Metazoa; Chordata; Amphibia; Anura; Pelobatidae. The record is from the annotation of a GenBank genome assembly.
GCAGACACAUUCCAGCCAAUCAGCAGCAGACCCUCCCUCCCAGACCCUCCCACCUCCUGGACAGCAUCCAUUUUACAUUCAUUGUGAAGCUGCAUUCUUAGUGAGCUGUCCAGGAAGUGGGAGGGUCUGGGAGGGAGGGUCUGCUGCUAAUUGGCUGGAAUGUGUCUG